Molecule: ribosomal RNA, 448 nt
Filed under: uncultured bacterium
Lineage: Bacteria
Description: bacterial SSU rRNA
Rfam family: Bacterial small subunit ribosomal RNA
Source: RNAcentral
CUCUGUGACUCCUACGGGAGCAGCAGUGGGGAAUAUUGCACAAUGGGCGCAAGCCUGAUGCAGCAACGCCGUGUGAGUGAAGAAGGUUUUCGGAUCGUAAACUCUGUCCUAAGGGAAGAAACAAAUGACGGUACCUUAGGAGGAAGCCCCGGCUAACUACGUGCCAGCAGCCGCGGUAAUACGUAGGGGGCAAGCGUUAUCCGGAAUCACUGGGCGUAAAGGGUGCGUAGGCGGCUUAGCAAGCCAGGGGUGAAAGGCAUUGGCUCAACCAAUGUAAGCCUUUGGAACUGUUAAGCUUGAGUGCAGGAGAGGUAAGUGGAAUUCCUAGUGUAGAGGUGAAAUUCGUAGAUAUUAGGAGGAACACCAGUGGCGAAGGCGACUUACUGGACUGUAACUGACGCUGAUGCACGAAAGCGUGGGUAGCGAACAGGAUUAGAUACCCUGGGAG